This 253-nucleotide ribosomal RNA is filed under the name uncultured bacterium. RNAcentral describes it as "partial 16S ribosomal RNA". It matches the Rfam family "Bacterial small subunit ribosomal RNA", at positions 524 to 776 of the family's 1533-position model. The record is from RNAcentral.
UACGAAGGGGGCUAGCGUUGCUCGGAAUCACUGGGCGUAAAGCGCACGUAGGCGGAUUGCUAAGUCAGGGGUGAAAUCCUGGAGCUCAACUCCAGAACUGCCUUUGAUACUGGCGAUCUUGAGUUCGGGAGAGGUGAGUGGAACUGCGAGUGUAGAGGUGAAAUUCGUAGAUAUUCGGAAAGAACACCAGUGGCGAAGGCGGCUGACUGGACAUGUAUGACGCUGAGGUGCGAAAGCGUGGGGAGCAAACAGG